AUUGAACGCUGGCGGCAUGCCUUACACAUGCAAGUCGAACGGCAGCGCGGACUUCGGUCUGGCGGCGAGUGGCGAACGGGUGAGUAAUACAUCGGAACGUACCCUGUUGUGGGGGAUAACUAGUCGAAAGAUUAGCUAAUACCGCAUACGACCUGAGGGUGAAAGUGGGGGACCGCAAGGCCUCACGCAGCAGGAGCGGCCGAUGUCUGAUUAGCUAGUUGGUGGGGUAAAGGCCCACCAAGGCGACGAUCAGUAGCUGGUCUGUGAGGACGAUCAGCCACACUGGGACUGAGACACGGCCCAGACUCCUACGGGAGGCAGCAGUGGGGAAUUUUGGACAAUGGGGGCAACCCUGAUCCAGCAAUGCCGCGUGUGUGAAGAAGGCCUUCGGGUUGUAAAGCACUUUUGUCCGGAAAGAAAUCGCGCUGGUUAAUACCUGGCGUGGAUGACGGUACCGGAAGAAUAAGCACCGGCUAACUACGUG
RNAcentral lists this ribosomal RNA (484 nucleotides) under uncultured bacterium. Its description in RNAcentral is "partial 16S ribosomal RNA". It matches the Rfam family "Bacterial small subunit ribosomal RNA", at positions 30 to 507 of the family's 1533-position model. The record is from RNAcentral.